Molecule: long non-coding RNA, 285 nt
Filed under: Pongo abelii (Sumatran orangutan)
Lineage: Eukaryota; Metazoa; Chordata; Mammalia; Primates; Hominidae
Description: lincRNA
Source: RNAcentral
UUUCUUAUUCGUUUCCUUUUAGUGCUGCUUGUUGCUGAUGUUUCUGCCCAAAUAUCAUGAAACGUGGAGAAGAAAGAACACUCAGAUGUGCCCUGGAGACUUGCCUUUUAUUUUUAAACAUUGUUUUUUCCAUUGGGUUUGACCAACUCUAUACCCGACUUGAUCAAAUCCGAAGGAAAGCUUCCAAUUAUGGGGAACAAGUCCUCUGAAGUGGCUAAACUCCCACACACACAAAAGAAAAGGUAGGGUGGUGGGGGGAGAAAAACAGCCAACAAAAGGAAAAAA